GAUGAAGAACGCAGCGAACUGCGAUAAGUAAUGUGUAUUGCAGAAUUCAGUGAAUCAUCGAGUCUUUGAACGCACAUUGCGCCCCCUGGCAUUCCGGGGGGCAUGCCUGUCCGAGCGUCAUUGCUGCCCUUCAAGCCCGGCUUGUGUGUUGGGUCGUCGUCCCCCCCGGGGGACGGGCCCGAAAGGCAGCGGCGGCACCGCGUCCGGUCCUCGAGCGUAUGGGGCUUUGUCACCCGCUCGAUUAGGGCCGGCCGGGCGCCAGCCGGCGUCUCCAACCUUCUAUUUUACCAGGUUGACCUCGGAUCAGGUAGGGAUACCCGCUGAACUUAAGCAUAUCAAUAAGCGGAGGA
Molecule: unclassified non-coding RNA, 350 nt
Filed under: soil metagenome
Description: partial contains 5.8S ribosomal RNA, internal transcribed spacer 2, and large subunit ribosomal RNA
Rfam family: 5.8S ribosomal RNA (bases 1-120)
Source: RNAcentral